Molecule: ribosomal RNA, 453 nt
Filed under: uncultured bacterium
Lineage: Bacteria
Description: bacterial SSU rRNA
Rfam family: Bacterial small subunit ribosomal RNA
Source: RNAcentral
UACGGGAGGCAGCAGUGGGGAAUAUUGCACAAUGGGCGCAAGCCUGAUGCAGCCAUGCCGCGUGUAUGAAGAAGGCCUUCGGGUUGUAAAGUACUUUCAGUCGUGAGGAAGGUGUUAAGGUUAAUAACCUUAGCAAUUGACGUUAGCGACAGAAGAAGCACCGGCUAACUCCGUGCCAGCAGCCGCGGUAAUACGGAGGGUGCGAGCGUUAAUCGGAAUUACUGGGCGUAAAGGGCACGCAGGCGGUUAAUUAAGUUGGAUGUGAAAUCCCCGGGCUUAACCUGGGAAUGGCAUUCAAGACUGGUUAGCUAGAGUCUUGUAGAGGGGGUAGAAUUCCAUGUGUAGCGGUGAAAUGCGUAGAGAUGUGGAGGAAUACCGGUGGCGAAGGCGGCCCCUGAACAAAGACUGACGCUCAUGUGCGAAAGCGUGGGGAGCAAACAGGGAUUAGAUACC